Molecule: ribosomal RNA, 496 nt
Filed under: uncultured bacterium
Lineage: Bacteria
Description: bacterial SSU rRNA
Rfam family: Bacterial small subunit ribosomal RNA
Source: RNAcentral
GAUGAACGCUAGCGGCAGGCUUAAUACAUGCAAGUCGAGGGGCAGCAGGGGUGUAGCAAUACACUCGCUGGCGACCGGCAAACGGGUGCGGAACACGUACGCAACCUACCCAAAACUGAUGAAUAGCCCUCCGAAAGGAGGAUUAAUACAUCGUAACAUAAUGAAGUGGCAUCACUUUAUUAUUAUAGCUCCGGCGGUUUUGGAUGGGCGUGCGCCUGAUUAGAUAGUUGGCGGGGUAACGGCCCACCAAGUCUGCGAUCAGUAACUGGUGUGAGAGCACGACCAGUCACACGGGCACUGAGACACGGGCCCGACUCCUACGGGAGGCAGCAGUAAGGAAUAUUGGUCAAUGGACGCAAGUCUGAACCAGCCAUGCCGCGUGAAGGAUGAAGGUCCUCUGGAUUGUAAACUUCUUUUAUAUGGGACGAAACCCUCGAAUUCUUUCGGGAUUGACGGUACCAUAAGGAAUAAGCACCGGCUAACUCCGUGCCAGCCG